Austrofundulus limnaeus is the source of this 3754-nucleotide RNA transcript. It is a transcript of the gene named G protein-coupled receptor 68, with no coding region annotated. NCBI's taxonomy places the organism in Eukaryota, Metazoa, Chordata, Actinopteri, Cyprinodontiformes, Rivulidae. The record is from RefSeq and is a predicted model, not a curated record. The transcript has 7 exons.
AUAUUUUUCCAUCAUUGCAUAACAUUUGUUUAAUAUAAGUUUGCUGAUGAUUUACCUAAUAAACAGAAUUAAAUGUAUAAAUUAAAGCCAAAUUGUAGUGAAAAAUGUGAAAACAAAGUCAGAUACAAUGGCGACGUGGGGGCUCUGGCAGACAGAAGAGACGAAACACUACAAAAUAAAACAAGUUUUAAAAAUUAACACCUAAAAUGUUGGUCGGACAGGAAGGGAACCAGGUGUGGAUCAAUCAGCUGAAUCAGAACAGGUGUGAGGCAAGAGGGGCAGGAAGUAGAACUGAGCAGAUUUCAAAAUAAAAUGAGAAGUUUUGAGCUCAGGAGGGCGGGCGACAUGCAUUCCUUUAAGAAACGCAGCUGAAUAAGUACAAAUAUGUUUUUGGUGUCACUGAAAUAUAGCGGGUUUAACUCUCRUGUUCUUCACAGGUGAAACUGGACCGGAGAGCAAGUCUCAGACCAGAUGAGACCCGUCCCACGCCAGGAUCUGAGUGUUUUCUAUAGGUAGGGGGGGUUCAGGAUGAAGUAGUGCGAUGACGUCUAACAUGUCUGAGGAGGAGGAUGUGAUCAACUGCACCAUCAGCCACGAAGUCCACCAGUACGUCUUCUCCUUCGUCUACAUCCUGGUCCUGUUGGUUGGCGUUCCCUCCAACCUGUACUCGCUGUACCACGCCGCUCUGCAGCUGAAGCAGAGGAACGAACUGGGAGUYUAUCUGAUGAACCUCACCGUGUCGGACCUCCUGUACCAGGCGUCCUUACCGCUSUGGCUGCAGUACAUCUUCCAGGAUGAUGACUGGCAACACAGAGAGUGGUUGUGUCAGCUGUGUGGUUUCCUGCUCUAUGAGAACAUUUACAUCAGCAUCGGCUUUCUGUGCUGCAUCAGUCUGGAUCGCUACUUGGCGGUGGUCCAUCCUCUAAGGUUUACGGCUCUGCGCUCGAUGACAGCAGCCUGGCUGGUCAGCGCCAUCAUCUGGCUGAAGGAGAUCGCCGUGGGAGUGGUUUUCUUUCGCCACAAGGAGCUGAGCAGAGACCGUACGAACCAGUCCGUCUGCUUUGAGCACUACCCCAUGCAGCCGUGGGAACAUCCGAUCAACUACUACCGCUUUGUUGUUGGCUUCUUGUUCCCACUGGUCAUCCUGUCGAUCAGCUACCUGUGCGUCCUUCGAGCGGUGGGUCGCAGCGCGGGAACUCAGCCGGAUCAGAAGGUGAGGAUCAGACAACUGGUCAGUAGCACCAUCCUCAUCUUCCUCGUCUGCUUCUCGCCAUACCACGUCUUCCUGCUGGUCCGCACGCUGCUGGAGCGGGACUGCGCUUUUAUAGAAGGAAUCUUUAACUACUACCACCUGUCGCUGAUGCUGACCACCCUGAACUGCGUGGCCGACCCGGCACUCUACUGCUUCGUCAGUGAGAGCGCCCGCCGCGGCCUCUACAGCGCCAUCGUCCAGCCCGUCACCAGGAUACUCUGCUGCUGCCGCCGCCGUGGGAGCGCCAGCCCCACAAACCCGGCCAACGACUCUCAGGAGGUGGCCACCACAGAAGAAAACAACGGCCACCCGACCGUGACGCUGCUCACUCACACCAGCACGCAGAUCGACUUGAAAACAGACCCGAAAAACUCGAGCGCGAUCCCACAGACAGACGAGAAUGACACGAAACGGUUGACGGCUCAAAAUGACACAAACUCACAGGACAAAUGUGUCGACGUCAAUGGGAAGUCAGGCUGUGUGAUCGCUGUGGAGGAGCAGAAACAAACAGAAAGGACAGAAGAAAAUAAUAAGAACAUCUCCUGAAGGUUUCAGGACGACGACUGAUUUAAAUCUGUUUACAUCCUGUUUCAAUCUAAACUCAUAGAAACCGUCUGUUUACAUUUCCUGUUUGCACAAACCAGGGACGUACGGAGAAGGGGGGGUCUCUGCAGUACAUGUUGUCUUAUGAGUGGAGAUGGCCUUACUCGUGACUGGCAGAGACGGCACUACUCGUGAUUGGCAGAGGUCUUGAUGUGGGCGGAGACGGCCCUACUCGUGAUUGGCGGAGGUCUUGAUGUGGGCGGAGACGGCCCUACUCGUGAUUGGCAGAGGUCUCGAUGUGGGCGGAGACGGCCCUACUCGUGAUUGGCAGAGACGUCCCUACUUGUGAUUGGCAGAGACGGCCCUACUUGUGAUUGGCAGAGGUCUCAAUGUGGGCGGAGACGGCCCUACUCGUGAUUGGCAGAGGUCUCGAUGUGGGCGGAGACGGCCCUACUCGUGAUUGGCAGAGACGUCCCUACUUGUGAUUGGCAGAGACGGCCCUACUUGUGAUUGGCAGAGGUCUCAAUGUGGGCGGAGACGGCCCUACUCGUGAUUGGCAGAGGUCUCGAUGUGGGCGGAGACGGCCCUACUCCUGAUUGGCAGAGACGGCCCUACUCGUGAUUGGCAGAGACGGCCCAACUCGUGAUUGGCAGAGACGGCCCCACUCGUGAUUGGCAGAGACGGCCCUACUCAUGAUUAGCAGAGACGGCCCUACUCAUGAUUGGCAGAGGUCUCGAUGUGGGUGGAGACGGCCCUACUCAUGAUUGGCAGAGGUCUCGAUGUGGGUGGAGACGGCCCUACUCGUGAUUGGCAGAGACGGCCCCACUCGUGAUUGGCAGAGACGGCCCUACUCGUGAUUGGCAGAGGUCUCGAUGUGGGUGGAGACGGCCCUACUCGUGAUUGGCAGAGGUCAAUCGCGAGUGGGGCCAUCUCCGUCCACAAGAUAUCAUGUACUGCAGAGACCCCUACUUGGUCGUAGAAAGAGUUAUGCAAAUGAUAAAUGAUAGUGAGCAGCUGCUGAGCUGUGACUGGUGGAACAAAGUUCUGCUGGAUACUGAAUGGCUGUCAGAGUAUGACAUCAUCUGUAAAAAGCAGCCUUUGUCUCUUCUCUGUUUCUAUUUGUGCCUGAUGAUGGCGAGGUGCAGCUCUGUCAAAUGAGCUGUUCUUUGUUACAACUCCAACAUGCCCUGAAAGUUUCAUGAAAAUCUGUAACUUUUUGACAAACUAACUUUACCGAAAAUUAACCGAGUAAUAAAAUAAAAAAUAAAUAGUUAUAUUUAUCCAGUGCUUUGUCCUUUUAACCAAUUUUCCAUUUAACCUAAACAAUUUAGAAAUUUUCUUUAAUUCAAAAUUGCAGAAUUUUCUCAUUUCCUCUUCAAACACAAGGAUGACACGCCAUCUUGGAUUGCGAAAUCCUGAACAAACUGCUGGUAUGUCAGGCAGUGAGAGCAUGUUACUGUGUCUGUAUGUCAGUAAAAUGUUUCAAAUGCUUUCAUUAUGUCCUGACUUUUCAGCUGAUUUAUGUAAUAUAUGUGUUUAAUGUGUUUUGUGUCACAAAACAGCGAGUCUCGAGGAGAGGCUGGCAGUUCUCCUGUUGCACAGUAGAUGGCGCUCGUGAGCUCAAAAAGUCUUUUUAUUACUUCGCACAGGCGCAGAGGAAGUAACAACAAGCUAGCUGCUAGCAAGUGAUGUCCAGAAAAGUAACUGCUUUUGUAUUUAUCUGUCUUUUUACUACUUAUGACAGUGUCUGGACUCAGAUGGGAUAUUAUGAGCUGUGCAUGGACUUCAUUUAUAAGUAAAGGUAGGACAUCACUUUAUUUUAAUGAAACUAGUUUUUGAAUGAUGGACUCAGAAAGUCCUCAGAAGCCACGAAUCUGACUUGACGUCACUGGGAAAUAAAAACAUGAUGUGAUAACUUUAAUAUAAAAGUCAAAAUGUAAAAAACUGAGCAAAAAGGGA